RNAcentral lists this transfer RNA (69 nucleotides) under Staphylinidae sp. BMNH 1274674. Its description in RNAcentral is "tRNA-Gln". It matches the Rfam family "tRNA". Rfam says of the family: Transfer RNA (tRNA) molecules are approximately 80 nucleotides in length. Their secondary structure includes four short double-helical elements and three loops (D, anti-codon, and T loops). The record is from RNAcentral. Lineage: Eukaryota; Metazoa; Arthropoda; Insecta; Coleoptera; Staphylinidae.
UAUAUUUUAGUAUAUGAGGUACAUAAGUUUUUGAAACUUAAAGGAAAAGUUUAAUUCUUUUAAAUAUAA